This 484-nucleotide ribosomal RNA is filed under the name uncultured bacterium. Its description in RNAcentral is "partial 16S ribosomal RNA". It matches the Rfam family "Bacterial small subunit ribosomal RNA", at positions 30 to 507 of the family's 1533-position model. The record is from RNAcentral.
AUUGAACGCUGGCGGCAGGCCUAACACAUGCAAGUCGAGCGGAUGAAGGGAGCUUGCUCCUGGAUUCAGCGGCGGACGGGUGAGUAAUGCCUAGGAAUCUGCCUGGUAGUGGGGGAUAACGUCCGGAAACGGGCGCUAAUACCGCAUACGUCCUGAGGGAGAAAGUGGGGGAUCUUCGGACCCCACGCUAUCAGAUGAGCCUAGGUCGGAUUAGCUAGUUGGUGGGGUAAAGGCCUACCAAGGCGACGAUCCGUAACUGGUCUGAGAGGAUGAUCAGUCACACUGGAACUGAGACACGGUCCAGACUCCUACGGGAGGCAGCAGUGGGGAAUAUUGGACAAUGGGCGAAAGCCUGAUCCAGCCAUGCCGCGUGUGUGAAGAAGGUCCUCGGAUUGUAAAGCACUUUAAGUUGGGAGGAAGGGCAGUAAGUUAAUACCUUGCUGUUUUGACGUUACCAACAGAAUAAGCACCGGCUAACUUCGUG